AGAGUUUGAUCAUGGCUCAGGAUGAACGCUAGCGGCAGGCCUAUACAUGCAAGCCGAACGGCAAGUCGAGUAGCAAUACUUGACCUAGAGUGGGUAAGGGUGCGUAACACGUAUGCAAUCUGCCCGCAACAGGAGGAUAGCUCCCCGAAAGGGGAAUUAACCCUCCAUAGAACCACACGAGGGCAUCCGAGAGUGGUUAAACCAAAAGGGGUUGCGGAUGAGCAUGCGGUUGAUUAGCUAGUUGGCGGGGUAACGGCCCACCAAGGCGAUGAUCAAUAGGGGAACUGAGAGGUUUAUCCCCCACACUGGCACUGAGAUACGGGCCAGACUCCUACGGGAGGCAGCAGUAGGGAAUAUUGGACAAUGGGCGAGAGCCUGAUCCAGCCAUGCCGCGUGCAGGAAGAAGGCCUUCUGGGUUGUAAACUGCUUUUGCCAGGGGAUAAAAGACCCGUGCGCGGGGAAUUGAAGGUACCUGGUGAAUAAGCCACGGCUAACUACGUGCCAGCAGCCGCGGUAAUACGUAGGUGGCAAGCGUUGUCCGGAUUUAUUGGGUUUAAAGGGUGCGUAGGCGGUUCCAUAAGUCAGUGGUGAAAUACGGCAGCUCAACUGUCGAGGUGCCAUUGAUACUGUGGAACUUGAGUACAGACGAGGUAGGCGGAAUUGACGGUAGCGGUGAAAUGCUUAGAUAUCGUCAAGAACACCGAUAGCGAAGGCAGCUUACUAGACUGUAACUGACGCUGAGGCACGAAAGUGUGGGGAUCAAACAGGAUUAGAUACCCUAGUAGUCC
Molecule: ribosomal RNA, 788 nt
Filed under: uncultured bacterium
Lineage: Bacteria
Description: bacterial SSU rRNA
Rfam family: Bacterial small subunit ribosomal RNA
Source: RNAcentral